ACCUGCUCCGGCCGCUCUUCGCGGCGUCCGGAACAUCAGACACACCACGUGCCCCGGGAAGAACUGGGCACGUCAGAGCGUU
RNAcentral lists this small RNA (82 nucleotides) under Streptomyces agglomeratus. RNAcentral's name for it is "nrdJ RNA". It matches the Rfam family "nrdJ RNA". Lineage: Bacteria; Bacillati; Actinomycetota; Actinomycetes; Kitasatosporales; Streptomycetaceae. The record is from Rfam by way of RNAcentral.